RNAcentral lists this long non-coding RNA (7086 nucleotides) under Brassica napus (rape). RNAcentral's name for it is "long non-coding RNA (BNAP_LNC017109)". Lineage: Eukaryota; Viridiplantae; Streptophyta; Magnoliopsida; Brassicales; Brassicaceae. The record is from RNAcentral.
AGAAGUAUGGAGGAGUUUGGGUCUGGUGCAAAGAUAGGGACAAGAUCUUAAGAGAUUGUCUAUCAAGGCUUCAUGAGAGUUUAGAGAAGUCUAGAAGUAUCAUGAAGGCUGUGCAAAGAUAGGGUUUAAGUCCAGGAGGGACUUAGACACCAUUUGGAGAUAGUUGGGUGAUGGUGCAAAGAUAGGGCGUCCCAAGGUUCAGACGGUACGGAUGAACCGUGCAAACUUAGGGCGACCCAGAACCUGAUCACACUCAACCAUUGGAGAUGUUUUGGUGAGAUGUGCAAACUUAGGGCGAGGUACGGACAGGCGGUCCGUACCUUCGUCCGUACUUGUUCCGGAUCAAGCUGAAAUGAAGCUGUGCAAACUUAGGGCGCAAGAGAAGACAAACCUGAGUUAUCUUGUGACUAUUUGUGGAUAAGGGACAGCUAGGGCGUGGUCAAUGACAGGCUGUCUUUGAGCUGUAAAGGAAAAGCAGCCUUGACCAUGUAUCUAGCCAUCUUUGUGAAAAAGGUUCAUGGGAGCUUUAAGGGAACCAAUCAGGAGCCAGCCCUUGCCUUGACCAGUUUGAAUCAACCAAUCACCAGCCAGCAUUCUCUACUCCAAUCAGAUCAAUUCACUCAGAUUGCAAACAAGAAAACUCCAUCCUAGCCAUCCAUUCAUCUCAAGUCAUUUCUAUCCAUUAGAUUAAGGGUUUAUGAUUUUACAAAGUGUAAAGCCUAUAUAAAGGCUAUCAUGGACGUUUUGUAACUCUCUUAAGAGAGAGAGGGGGAUUUCCCCUCCUCCUUCAUAAUACAAAGUGUGUUCUUGGAUAAGAAUCCCUCAAACUACCCCUUUCUUAUACUUAAAUCUCUUAAUCUCUCUAAAUCUCUUGUUUCUGUCCAAGUUCAUACUGUUCUUCAUCAGACCUUUCUCUCUUCAGUUCAAGCUCUCAUUUCGCCCUUAGUGGCUUGUUCUCACACACACAGCCUGAGCUCUGAAAACCUAACAUGGUAUCAGAGCCAGGUUCAUCAGAACUUGGUUCCAGCUUCCGCAUAUACAUCACAAGUCUAGCCUCAUCACAGAUCCAAACCAUUGAAGAUGUCCAGCCUGUUCUCUCUCUUCAAGAAGAAGGUGUUUGAAGCUAUGGUGGUGUCUCCUGGUCGUUCCUCCUCUCUCCAGUCCAUUAAAGGCGUGUCUCAACUCUGUCCCAAGCUGAAACCCUUCAAGAAGAAAGCUCUCAUCUUGUUCCUGAAGUUGGAGACUUGGAGCUGUGAAGAAAGGUGGAACCUUUUGUGUUGUGGUUUCAAGAAGGAGGUUAUGAACACAAAGAGAAGGUGUUGGGUGACGAUCCAGCUCUCUUAUCCACCAGAUUCGUGGCCUAUUACCAAGGUGGCUCAAGGAACCAGCUCAGGUUCCUUGGUUGUAAGCUAAUCCUAAACCUUCUUGAUAUGAGCUUGUGAUUGAAACAGGUUGUUGUGUUGUGAUGUGAUUAAAUGAACCUGAGGAUAUGUUUAAGAUUGCUAAAUGAAAUGAAAUGAUUUAGAAUCUGUCCCAGGAUGCUAUUGAGUGUUGUUUGAUGUUGAGAAAUGAAAUGCUUAGCCUGAUUUGGUUAUGAUUGUUCUAGGAUGUUAGAAACUGUCUAAAUCCUAUUAGCUUUCAUUAAACUGAAAUCACUUAAGGUUUUGCAUUGUCUGAUGUUGAUUGAUGAUUAAUAUUGCUUUGCCUCAGUUAUAAGUGAAGUGUGUUAGGAUAAUAGAAAGCAUUGGCUGAUCCUGCUGCAUACAUGAGCUAGAAACUGAUUAAGGUCACAGCAUAUUGUCAUCUUGUUGCUGCCUUAACAUUGAGCACAUAGAUGGAUGUCUAUGAUUGCGGAUUAAGGCAGGGUUGAUUGCCUAAGUAGCUUGUCUUGAAUCUGAUUUGAUCUUGCUUGUACCUAGAGAGAUUGCUUGCAAAGAUGUGAACUUGAUAAUUCUUGUUUCAAUCUGUUGCAUAGCUUGUGACAUUGGAGAUCAAACUUGAUGAUUAGUCAAGGAUUGAUCCCAAUGCUUAUGUCUUAUCUUUGCUGGAGUUUGAGUGGUGUUUCAGGUUCACAAGAUGUGCUCUCUGUCCAUCACCAAUCCGAGCAGAAGAGGAAGAAGACUUUACCCAUUGGGAAUGGUCGUUGUGGUAUAUGUGUGGAUACACAAGGCGAGUGGUCAUCACCUAAGUCUGGAGGAGACCGGUGACCAGAAGGCAUUGGAGAUAAAGGGAAGGGUUGAUCAGUGGUUGAAGCGCACUCUAUGAGAUGUUACGCUCCUGAUCUUAAGGCUCAUUGAGGCUCACUUCAAGCUUGGACCCAUACUCAAUCCAAGCUUGAGGAGGGGAGCAAAGUGAGCCACCUGAUGAUCCUGUUGCUCAAUGACCUGUGUUACUCAAGGUCAUUGCAAGCUGAUCAUGGAGUGAUUCAGCCAAAGUAGAGGGAAGAAGAAGGUCACUCAACAAGGCGUGUGAGGUGCUUGGAGAGUGGGCUGAUGUAUCUCCUCAGUGCAAUGAUGAUGUAGUGGAGGUUCAAGCAUCAAGUCCGAAGGAGAUGGAUGUGCUUUCCACAAGGCGUAUCAUGGAGCUAUCAUGCGCUCACCAUCAAGCUUGGACCUUCCCUAUACUUGGUCUCAAGCUUGAGGGGGAGUGUGGAUGAGCUUGCAUGAUCAGAGAAGGAGCUGUUAAGCUCAGCAAGUGAGGGACUCAAGUGCCAUGUGAAGAGCAGCCAGUCCUCACCAUUUAUACAAGGGAGUAAACCUGAUCUCUAUCUCUUUAUAUACAUUCAUGAUAGGUUUAUCUCUUGAGAACUGAUACACUUGUUGAAUGAUGUAUCAGGUACCUUACUUGGAUUCUCAAUGAAGAGGGCGUGAUCUUACCUGAUGGAGAUGGCGAGAAGCCAUGAGAGAAGGGAAGACACAAACGGAGUUUAAGAAGAAGUCCAAGAAGAGUGGUGGAGUGAAGAGGCCGUGAUCCAGAGCCUAUGUGCCUAAACCUCAGUGAUACUAAGGCACAUAGGCUCACUGGCCAAUCCCUAGGCCUUGGAGGCUCUACUCUUUUUCCCUCAGCAAGGUUUUGUCCCAAAGGGUUUUCCUUGGUGAGGUUUUUAAUGAGGGAGUUCUUCAAGGUUCCAAGCUUGACUUAGGAUCACCUAGAGUCAAGCUUGAGGGGGAGUGUUGACUUGAAGAAAGAAAUGGAGCCAUAGGAGAAGUAUGGAGGAGUUUGGGUCUGGUGCAAAGAUAGGGACAAGAUCUUAAGAGAUUGUCUAUCAAGGCUUCAUGAGAGUUUAGAGAAGUCUAGAAGUAUCAUGAAGGCUGUGCAAAGAUAGGGUUAAAGUCCAGGAGGGACUUAGACACCAUUUGGAGAUAGUUGGGUGAUGGUGCAAAGAUAGGGCGUCCCGAGGUUCAGACGGUACGGAUGAACCGUGCAAACUUAGGGCGACCCAGAACCUGAUCACACUCAACCAUUGGAGAUGUUUUUGUGAGAUGUGCAAACUUAGGGCGAGGUACGGACAGGCGGUCCGUACCUUCGUCCGUACUUGUUCCGGAUCAAGCUGAAAUGAAGCUGUGCAAACUUAGGGCGCAAGAAAAGACAAACCUGAGUUAUCUUGUGACUAUUUGUGGAUAAGGGACAGCUAGGGCGUGGUCAAUGACAGGCUGUCUUUGAGCUGUAAAGGAAAAGCAGCCUUGACCAUGUAUCUAGCCAUCUUUGUGAAAAAGGUUCAUGGGAGCUUUAAGGGAACCAAUCAGGAGCCAGCCCUUGCCUUGACCAGUUUGAAUCAACCAAUCACCAGCCAGCAUUCUCUACUCCAAUCAGAUCAAUUCACUCAGAUUGCAAACAAGAAAACUCCAUCCUAGCCAUCCAUUCAUCUCAAGUCAUUUCUAUCCAUUAGAUUAAGGGUUUAUGAUUUUACAAAGUGUAAAGCCUAUAUAAAGGCUAUCAUGGACGUUUUGUAACUCUCUUAAGAGAGAGAGGGGGAUUUCCCCUCCUCCUUCAUAAUACAAAGUGUGUUCUUGGAUAAGAAUCCCUCAAACUACCCCUUUCUUAUACUUAAAUCUCUUAAUCUCUCUAAAUCUCUUGUUUCUGUCCAAGUUCAUACUGUUCUUCAUCAGACCUUUCUCUCUUCAGUUCAAGCUCUCAUUUCGCCCUUAGUGGCUUGUUCUCACACACACAGCCUGAGCUCUGAAAACCUAACAUGGUAUCAGAGCCAGGUUCAUCAGAACUUGGUUCCAGCUUCCGCAUAUACAUCACAAGUCUAGCCUCAUCACAGAUCCAAACCAUUGAAGAUGUCCAGCCUGUUCUCUCUCUUCAAGAAGAAGGUGUUUGAAGCUAUGGUGGUGUCUCCUGGUCGUUCCUCCUCUCUCCAGUCCAUUAAAGGCGUGUCUCAACUCUGUCCCAAGCUGAAACCCUUCAAGAAGAAAGCUCUCAUCUUGUUCCUGAAGUUGGAGACUUGGAGCUGUGAAGAAAGGUGGAACCUUUUGUGUUGUGGUUUCAAGAAGGAGGUUAUGAACACAAAGAGAAGGUGUUGGGUGACGAUCCAGCUCUCUUAUCCACCAGAUUCGUGGCCUAUUACCAAGGUGGCUCAAGGAACCAGCUCAGGUUCCUUGGUUGUAAGCUAAUCCUAAACCUUCUUGAUAUGAGCUUGUGAUUGAAACAGGUUGUUGUGUUGUGAUGUGAUUAAAUGAACCUGAGGAUAUGUUUAAGAUUGCUAAAUGAAAUGAAAUGAUUUAGAAUCUGUCCCAGGAUGCUAUUGAGUGUUGUUUGAUGUUGAGAAAUGAAAUGCUUAGCCUGAUUUGGUUAUGAUUGUUCUAGGAUGUUAGAAACUGUCUAAAUCCUAUUAGCUUUCAUUAAACUGAAAUCACUUAAGGUUUUGCAUUGUCUGAUGUUGAUUGAUGAUUAAUAUUGCUUUGCCUCAGUUAUAAGUGAAGUGUGUUAGGAUAGUAGAAAGCAUUGGCUGAUCCUGCUGCAUACAUGAGCUAGAAACUGAUUAAGGUCACAGCAUAUUGUCAUCUUGUUGCUGCCUUAACAUUGAGCACAUAGAUGGAUGUCUAUGAUUGCGGAUUAAGGCAGGGUUGAUUGCCUAAGUAGCUUGUCUUGAAUCUGAUUUGAUCUUGCUUGUACCUAGAGAGAUUGCUUGCAAAGAUGUGAACUUGAUAAUUCUUGUUUCAAUCUGUUGCAUAGCUUGUGACAUUGGAGAUCAAACUUGAUGAUUAGUCAAGGAUUGAUCCCAAUGCUUAUGUCUUAUCUUUGCUGGAGUUUGAGUGGUGUUUCAGGUUCACAAGAUGUGCUCUCUGUCCAUCACAAAUCCGAGCAGAAGAGGAAGAAGACUUUACCCAUUGGGAAUGGUCGCUGUGGUGUAUGUGUGGAUACACAAGGCGAGUGGUCAUCACCUAAGUCUGGAGGAGACCGGUGACCAGAAGGCAUUGGAGAUAAAGGGAAGGGUUGAUCAGUGGUUGAAGCGCACUCUAUGAGAUGUUGCGCUCCUGAUCUUAAGGCUCAUUGAGGCUCACUUCAAGCUUGGACCCAUACUCAAUCCAAGCUUGAGGAGGGGAGCAAAGUGAGCCACCUGAUGAUCCUGUUGCUCAAUGACCUGUGUUACUCAAGGUCAUUGCAAGCUGAUCAUGGAGUGAUUCAGCCGAAGUAGAGGGAAGAAGAAGGUCACUCAACAAGGCGUGUGAGGUGCUUGGAGAGUGGGCUGAUGUAUCUCCUCAGUGCAAUGAUGAUGUAGUGGAGGUUCAAGCAUCAAGUCCGAAGGAGAUGGAGGUGCUUUCCACAAGGCGUAUCAUGGAGCUAUCAUGCGCUCACCAUCAAGCUUGGACCUUCCCUAUACUUGGUCUCAAGCUUGAGGGGGAGUGUGGAUGAGCUUGCAUGAUCAGAGAAGGAGCUGUUAAGCUCAGCAAGUGAGGGACUCAAGUGCCAUGUGAAGAGCAGCCAGUCCUCACCAUUUAUACAAGGGAGUAAACCUGAUCUCUAUCUCUUUAUAUACAUUCAUGAUAGGUUUAUCUCUUGAGAACUGAUACACUUGUUGAAUGAUGUAUCAGGUACCUUACUUGGAUUCUCAAUGAAGAGGGCGUGAUCUUACCUGAUGGAGAUGGCGAGAAGCCAUGAGAGAAGGGAAGACACAAACGGAGUUUAAGAAGAAGUCCAAGAAGAGUGAUGGAGUGAAGAGGCCGUGAUCCAGAGCCUAUGUGCCUAAACCUCAGUGAUACUAAGGCACAUAGGCUCACUGGCCAAUCCCUAGGCCUUGGAGGCUCUACUCUUUUUCCCUCAUCAAGGUUUUGUCCCAAAGGGUUUUCCUUGGUGAGGUUUUUAAUGAGGGAGUUCUUCAAGGUUCCAAGCUUGACUUAGGAUCACCUAGAGUCAAGCUUGAGGGGGAGUGUUGACUUGAAGAAAGAAAUGGAGCCAUAGGAGAAGUAUGGAGGAAUUUGGGUCUGGUGCAAAGAUAGGGACAAGAUAUUAAGAGAUUGUCUAUCAAGGCUUCAUGAGAGUUUAGAGAAGUCUAGAAGUAUCAUGAAGGCUGUGCAAAGAUAGGGUUUAAGCCCAGGAGGGACUUAGACACCAUUUGGAGAUAGUUGGGUGAUGGUGCAAAGAUAGGGCGUCCCGAGGUUCAGACGGUACGGAUGAACCGUGCAAACUUAGGGCGACCCAGAACCUGAUCACACUCAACCAUUGGAGAUGUUUUGGUGAGAUGUGCAAACUUAGGGCGAGGUACGGACAGGCGGUCCGUACCUUCGUCCGUACUUGUUCCGGAUCAAGCUGAAAUGAAGCUGUGCAAACUUAGGGCGCAAGAGAAGACAAACCUGAGUUAUCUUGUGACUAUUUGUGGAUAAGGGACAGCUAGGGCGUGGUCAAUGACAGGCUGUCUUUGAGCUGUAAAGGAAAAGCAGCCUUGACCAUGUAUCUAGCCAUCUUUGUGAAAAAGGUUCAUGGGAGCUUUAAGGGAACCAAUCAGGAGCCAGCCCUUGCCUUGACCAGUUUGAAUCAACCAAUCACCAGCCAGCAUUCUCUACUCCAAUCAGAUCAAUUCACUCAGAUUGCAAACAAGAAAACUCCAUCCUAGCCAUCCAUUCAUCUCAAGUCAUUUCUAUC